This 497-nucleotide ribosomal RNA is filed under the name uncultured bacterium. Its description in RNAcentral is "partial 16S ribosomal RNA". It matches the Rfam family "Bacterial small subunit ribosomal RNA", at positions 28 to 507 of the family's 1533-position model. The record is from RNAcentral.
GAUGAACGCUGGCGGCGUGCCUAAUACAUGCAAGUCGAGCGAACAGACGAGGAGCUUGCUCCUCUGACGUUAGCGGCGGACGGGUGAGUAACACGUGGAUAACCUACCUAUAAGACUGGGAUAACUUCGGGAAACCGGAGCUAAUACCGGAUAAUAUAUUGAACCGCAUGGUUCAAUAGUGAAAGACGGUUUUGCGGUCACUUAUAGACGGAUCCGGGCCGCAUUAGCUAGUUGGUAAGGUAACGGCUUACCAAGGCAACGAUGCGUAGCCGACCUGAGAGGGUGAUCGGACACACGGGAACUGAGACAGGGUCCAGACUCCGAGGGUAGGCAGCAGUAGGGAAUCUUCCGCAAUGGGCGAGAGCUUGACGGAGCAACGCCGCGGGAGUGAUGAUGCUCUUCUGAUCGUAGAACUCUGUUAUUAGGGGAGAACAAAUGUGUAAGUAACUGUGAUCGUCUUGACGGUACCUAAACAGAAAGCCACGGCUAACUACGUG